UCAGACUUGGGACAAGCAGAGUGAACUCUUGGGCCUAUAGGGAGAAGAAAGUCUGACUAAAAUUCAGCAAUGACAAAGUGAAGGCUACUACAUCCUCCCGCUGUUCUGUCAAAGAGAAAUCAGUUCAUGUCUACCACUCUCUGUGGGAGGGGCCUAAAACUCUUCAGACGUAUAUCAUUAUUACUUCAUACUUCUGAUGGGCUCUAAAAGGAUAUGGCCAAAGAACAGAAGAUUACUCCCAAAUGUUCAAUAAUU
Non-coding RNA from Sus scrofa (pig), 255 nucleotides. The record is from RefSeq and is a predicted model, not a curated record. Lineage: Eukaryota; Metazoa; Chordata; Mammalia; Artiodactyla; Suidae.